RNAcentral lists this ribosomal RNA (832 nucleotides) under uncultured Bacteroidota bacterium. RNAcentral describes it as "bacterial SSU rRNA". It matches the Rfam family "Bacterial small subunit ribosomal RNA", at positions 121 to 956 of the family's 1533-position model. Lineage: Bacteria; Pseudomonadati; Bacteroidota. The record is from RNAcentral.
GCAAUCUACCUUUCACAGAGGGAUAGCCCAGAGAAAUUUGGAUUAAUACCUCAUAGUAUUAUGAAGUGGCAUCACUUUAUAAUUAAAGUCACAACGGUGAAAGAUGAGCAUGCGUCCCAUUAGCUAGUUGGUAAGGUAACGGUUUACCAAGGCUACGAUGGGUAGGGGUCCUGAGAGGGAGAUCCCCCACACUGGUACUGAGACACGGACCAGACUCCUAUGGGAGGCAGCAGUGAGGAAUAUUGGUCAAUGGGCGCAAGCCUGAACCAGCCAUGCCGCGUGCAGGAUGACGGUCCUAUGGAUUGUAAACUGCUUUUGUACAGGAAGAAACAGUUCUACGUGUAGAACCUUGACGGUACUGUAAGAAUAAGGAUUGGCUAACUCCGUGCCAGCAGCCGCGGUAAUACGGAGGAUCCAAGCGUUAUCCGGAAUCAUUGGGUUUAAAGGGUCCGUAGGCGGUUUAGUAAGUCAGUGGUGAAAGCCCAUCGCUCAACGGUGGAACGGCCAUUGAUACUGCUAGACUUGAAUUAUUAGGAAGUAACUAGAAUAUGUAGUGUAGCGGUGAAAUGCUUAGAGAUUACAUGGAAUACCAAUUGCGAAGGCAGGUUACUACUAAUGGAUUGACGCUGAUGGACGAAAGCGUGGGUAGCGAACAGGAUUAGAUACCCUGGUAGUCCACGCCGUAAACGAUGGAUACUAGCUGUUGGGAGCGAUCUCAGUGGCUAAGCGAAAGUGAUAAGUAUCCCACCUGGGGAGUACGUUCGCAAGAAUGAAACUCAAAGGAAUUGACGGGGGCCCGCACAAGCGGUGGAGCAUGUGGUUUAAUUCGAUG